This 573-nucleotide ribosomal RNA is filed under the name Clostridioides difficile. RNAcentral describes it as "partial 23S ribosomal RNA". It matches the Rfam family "Bacterial large subunit ribosomal RNA", at positions 2350 to 2925 of the family's 2925-position model. Lineage: Bacteria; Bacillati; Bacillota; Clostridia; Peptostreptococcales; Peptostreptococcaceae. The record is from RNAcentral.
UGUAAAGGCAAAAGAGAGCUUGAUUGCAAGACAUACAGGUCGAGCAAGGAUGAAAAUCGGACUUAGUGAUCCGGUGGUUCUGCGUGGAAGGGCCAUCGCUCAACGGAUAAAAGCUACCCUGGGGAUAACAGGCUUAUCUCCCCCAAGAGUCCACAUCGACGGGGAGGUUUGGCACCUCGAUGUCGGCUCAUCACAUCCUGGGGCUGUAGUAGGUCCCAAGGGUUGGGCUGUUCGCCCAUUAAAGUGGUACGCGAGCUGGGUUCAGAACGUCGUGAGACAGUUCGGUCCCUAUCCGUCGCAGGCGUAGGAAAUUUGAGAAGACCUGUCCUUAGUACGAGAGGACCGGGAUGGACGUACCUCUGGUGUACCAGUUGUUCUGCCAAGGGCAUGGCUGGGUAGCUAUGUACGGAAUGGAUAAGCGCUGAAAGCAUCUAAGCGCGAAGCCAACUUCAAGAUAAGAUUUCCCACCGCAGGGGUAAGACCCCAGAAAGACUAUCUGGUUGAUAGGUCGAAGGUGUAAGUGCAGCAAUGUAUUUAGCUUAUCGAUACUAAUAGGUCGAGGACUUGACCAAU